RNAcentral lists this long non-coding RNA (710 nucleotides) under Homo sapiens (human). RNAcentral's name for it is "HSALNT0314231". Lineage: Eukaryota; Metazoa; Chordata; Mammalia; Primates; Hominidae. The record is from RNAcentral.
ACUUCCCAUCAGCCCUUGAGGCUGCAGGGACCAGCCCUUUGUGGAGAAGCCCAGGCGGCCUAGAAUCCAGUGUCGUCCGUGAGUGCUUGGCUGGUGUUCAAGUGCAUCUUCCAGCCUGAGACCGCGUGGACUCGCUCAUCGUGAGGGCGAGAGGAGGAUAAGCCCAUUGGGCUGUCGGCUGAGAGUGAGGUGCGGGAUUGCUGAUGAAAUCCUUGGCAUCGUCGGAGAUCUCAUCGAAUGCCUCGUCGUCGAAGUCCCAGGUGGCUGAGGUAACGUUGGCCAAGGUUUCGUUAUCGUUGUCUCCCAUGAAGGGGGAAAGGCCACUGACUCUGGAGAGACAAGAGCAGGACAGCAGGUGUGGCUAGGAGAGGGCGCGACGACCAGAUGAGGGAAUUGAGGCACAGCCCAGGCUCAAGUCACCUGCCCAAAGAUUCACAGCCAGUGAGAUUGGAAGCCAGGUAUCUGCCUCUAGAGCCUGUCCUCUUAAAUGCUAUACUAUCCUAACAUUUCUGUAAAGAUGAAGUAAAUUGCAGUGUUCAGCACUGGCACCAGGCCUGGUCCACAGUAAGGAGGCGGUCCAUGCCCGGAGAUCUCAUGCAGUUCUGCUGGGUUCCCUCCACUGCCUUACCAAGCUGUGAGUGCAGGAAUGACUUUGUGACCAGCAGCUUAAGCCAAAUAAACUUUAUAAGGUAAAGAAUUUCAAAACAAAA